CUAGCUACUGGACAUUAAGAUCAUACAGGUAUCUUCAAGAUAAGGAUGAAACUUUUUGGACAUAAAUAUAGAAAAAUUUCAUAUAUGAAUUCAGAAGUUGAGCACGACAUGAUUUGCAUGGAAAUAAGUAAUUCAUCACAGUGUUCUCAGAUCUCAGUGACUUUGACUGGUAAAACACAUGUAACUAUUGUAAUAGGAUUUUGCCAAAGCUUUUUCCUAACAACACAAGACAACUUGGACUCUCAUAAUCCUUACAUAAAAACGGCUUUCUUAAGGAAUAUCCAAAUACUGUUAUGCAUGCAUGCUUAAACCCUAAUGUUUACCACCACCUCCUCCUCCACCUACACCAGAACCACUGCCGGAACCAUGCCCACCUCCUACCCCAACUCCGAUGCCAAUUCCGAUGCCAAACCCUCCACCGCCUCCAUGACCGCCGCCGCCACCUCCACCUAUACCUCCACCGCCGCCAUGACCUAUACCACCACCUGCACCAAACCCUCCGCCGUGACCAGAACCUCCUCCAAUUCCUCCACCGCCACCUCCUCCAGCACCACCACCACCACCUAUUCCUCCUCCUACACCACCUCCUGCACCAAAGCCCCCACCAUGACCUGAACCUCCUCCUACUCCACCCCCUCCUCCACCACCAGCUCCUCCUCCCGCUCCACCACCAACACCACCUCCUAUACCACCACCAGCACCAAAUCCUCCACCAUGGCCUGAACCUCCUCCCAAACCACCACCACCACCACCACCUCCUCCUCCUCCUCCCCCUCCACCUGCUCCACCACCUAAGCCUCCACCAACACCACCACCAGCUCCAAACCCUCCACCAUGGCCUGAUCCAC
Molecule: long non-coding RNA, 848 nt
Filed under: Vigna radiata
Lineage: Eukaryota; Viridiplantae; Streptophyta; Magnoliopsida; Fabales; Fabaceae
Description: long non-coding RNA (VRAD_LNC001607)
Source: RNAcentral